This is a non-coding RNA of Dermacentor albipictus, 3703 nucleotides long. Lineage: Eukaryota; Metazoa; Arthropoda; Arachnida; Ixodida; Ixodidae. The record is from RefSeq and is a predicted model, not a curated record.
GCCAAAGCAUAACCUUCGAGACCGGCAAUUUAAAUAAAAACGGUGCCAUUUUAUAUUUCUCCAAAAACUGAAACAAUAUUUUAUGACGUGCAGGGAAAAACGCAAGUCUGUUAGCCUCUUGCAAAGUCUAGGAGGUAGCGCGACCGACCAUUUCCAUAACUUCAUUUCCUUUGUGUUUCUCUCCACCUUUCUGUGCAGCACGCCAUGCGUUAGUGCACGUUGUUUGUGCGCCUGUAAUGAACCGCCUUUUUCAAUGUUUUGCCCCCCGCGAAAGCUUGACUUGCUCUCCUCUAUUCGCGUUUUUCGGUACGUUGUGUUCGCGAAGGGAAACUGCGUGUGCAAGCUCUGGACUGAACAAGAGGUGUGCUAGCCCUCAGUGAGUAUCCCGGCAGAGCGACAACCGCAGUCAGUGGUAUCGAGAACUCAUCCGCCUGCACAGGAGCCCAUCAUGAUCCAGCAAAUUUGAAUCUGCGAGGGAACCAGCGACACACACUUGUUCUGGCCCCCCUGCACCUGCCGCACUACCAGCAGCGUCUCGGUGCUCCAUCUCCCUGAGACCAUCACUCAAUCCUUGACAAAACAGAUCAGUUUGCUUGGCCUUCAGUAGCUCUUGCGUGCUGAAAACGAUUCCAAUUCUCCCAAAGGGAAAUCUGGUUUCGUCCCCACUGAGAACUGCAGCCGUCGGGGUCAUGGGUUCACUUUCGAGAAGCUCCCCCGCUUGGCUGAGUUGUGGCGCACUGCUUGGCUGGAAAGUGGAGUAGCAGGUUUGCCCACUUGUGGACUCGCCUUUUCGCUCGUUGCACCCAUACGCUUGCUAGCACAAAGGCACUAGCAGAGGCUCUCACACCUGGAGGAAAGUUCAUGGUAGACAAUGGGGCACAAGAUGGGUGCGUCAGCUACCACGUUGGUGCUCCUGUUUCAAUGCUGCAAGAGAAAAGUCACAAUGCUGCUAGCCCACCAUGCUAGCUGGCCCGCAGGCUCAUGGAGCCACAUCAGCCAACUGAGCACACUGGUUCGUCUGCACUACGAAUUUCGUCUCAUCAAGAUAGACAUCGAAUUUAUCUAGUGCAAACACGGUAGCGAGGCAUUUCUUGGUUACGAAAUAAUUCCUCUCUGCUGGCAUCACGGAGCGGCUGGCGAAGGCCAACGGCUGCAACAUGCCAUUGUAUUUCUGUUGGAGGACUCCGUCUAAAUCCGGAUUGCUCACUUUAAUCUAGACAACAAACGGUCAGGUCGGGGAGUCUGAGCGGCGCUAUCUCCACAAUGACACUAGACAGAUGGAAAAAGGCCUGCUGCUGUUUAGGUCCUCGCUGCCACUCAGCCGACUUACCCAAGAGCUUGCUCAGGGUGCCUGCAUUCAGGCACAAGACGAGAUGAACGACUGGUAAAGGUUGGCCAUUCCCAAAAAGCAGCAAAGGCCAUGUACGUCCUUGGGUGCAGGGAAAUCGAUGAUUCCUUAAGUUUCGCCCUGUCUAGCUCAGUGGAGCCUCUGCCCAGUGUAAACCCCAGUAACUCAGCCUGGUUUUGCACUAGUUGGGCUUUCGCAGGAUUCAAAGUCAUCCUGGCGGCCCACACCCUCUUCCGCACUUCGGCAACAUGGGCCUAGUGUUCUUCAAAGGUUCGUGGAUAAAUCAUGAUGUCGUCGAGGUAGCCCAUGCAGUAUGACCACUUUGCUUCCCCGAGGACGCAGUCCAUGAGUCUUUGAAAUGUCGCAGGACCAUUGCAAAGACCAAAGGGCAUACACAUCAGAUUUGACAGCCAGAAUUUCAUUCUACAAUAACAAUACAUGCUGCGUCAUCGCGUUGUUAAUACUAAACACCGACUUCUUUUUUUGCUUCUUUUGUUUGCAUCGUAUCUUUUGAGAAGACACAUUUGCUUCGAGUCGUCUCUGUAGUAGUUGUUGAUUUUGACAAAAGUUGUGGCAAUGAUGCACGUUGUUGCGAUGCAUCAACAACGCUCAUCAUUUCCUUUCCUUGGCUUGGAUUUUUGUUUUGUAUCGCAUUUUUCGCACUAACCGUGCAGGCGUGAUGGUGGUUGAUGAAACAUGUCUGCUGUUGCCGUUGCUGCUGAAACUGUUAUGGUGCAACAUUUUCACAUUGCUGGUCACUCGCUGAUGGUACUAGACACGAUUCUGAAAUCGCAGCAGAUGUUGAUGUCAAAUCAAGUCUCAACUGUUUUUUUUUUUGCGUGUGUGUCAAGUGUCAUCGUAUAGCUGUUUGGGAUUGAUUGAUCACUGAUUCACAUAUUCAGUGAUGAAACUUGUCCUUUUGUUAUAGUUGCACCAUGGAAAGGAUAUUGUUGCUCCUGCUACUUGCUUUCAUUUAUGUCAUCGGAGUAGCCAUUGUUUUCAUUUCUUUUGCCACGUGCGUCGUUUCUGCAUUAAAAAAAAACAAACAAAAAUAUCAAAUUGUGGCUUCUUAGCGCAAGAUUGAUGUUCUUCGUCACUGUAUUCCUCAGCGGUUGUUUCUUGUGGUUCUGUUGUGUUCAUUCUAUAGAAUGAAAUUAUGAUGCAUUGCACAUCAUUGGUUUGACUGCCGAUUUCAAUAUAAAUAUUCUUCAUCACUUACUCCGCCAAGCUGCUAGCCGCCGACACAAGAAUGUGUACCAUUGCAUUGGACAUGGGGAUAUAUGAAGAGGUUGUGAUGUGCACAAAAGUUUCCGCACUGAAGAAUUUAUCCGGGAAAGCCCUUUGUUUCCCCUUUGAUGCUCUUCUAGGGGGCAGCCAUCUUUUGCAGGGACUACAGGAACUGGUGAAAAGAAGGAAAGAACUGUAGUAAUGCUCAACCUCUUUUUAUACUCACAUAUUUUACACAAUUUAAAGCGAAUUGUUUUUAGGCCCUUAUAGAGCCACGGUGCAUCUACCAUUUGCAACCCACUGUCCAUUCCAUUCAUAAUUUGAGAAACCAUCACCAUAUGUCAUGGCGCUCUUUGGCCAUACCUGGCCCUUGCGCCAAUAAAAACCACAUAUUAAUUAAUUAACUUGCUGCCAAUAUUCACUUACAAUGGCUUUGUCGUCAGCUGCCCCAUCAUCAAACUGGCAGCCUAGCAUGAGUGACGAGGGUUCAGAUUAGAUGCGCUUGCUUUAAACAUGUGUGCCAGAGGGAAUGAUUCUGGCCUAUAGGUGGUGUCCACACCAUCCCGCAGCAACGGCUCCUUCAUAGCAAUGGAAACCAAUCUCGAAGACUAUGCUUUUGCACCUUUCGCUCUUGCUGCUUGCAUAGUGUUGAAAGCAGUAUCAUGGUUGCCAUGUUUUUAACACCACUCUUACCACGCUGACAGAGUGCCUCCAUGUGUUUCAGAGACAUUCAUGGCCACUGGCUGAGAAGUUGGGCUAAACACGCAUGCGCAAAAGGGGCAUGGCACAAAAAGCAGGUACCCAUGCCUGGACUGCUGCUGUGUUUGGUGGCCGUGUUGGAUUCAGUGAAAAAUCGAAAAAGCAAGACCUAAAUGAGGCUUGAGCUCUAGUUGUGGGCAUUUUUGGUAUGGGACCACUUUUGGGAAGCUAGAGAAGUGAACUUAGACAUAUGUGGCCUACAAUUAUGUUUGCUUUCUGGUUAAUUAUUUUCUGUUCAGUGCCAUGCUCAGCUUUUCUUCUGCCUCGUCCAUGGGCUUGGAAAGGAGGCAACAUAUUUCCAAUCUUGGAGGGGAUGUCCCCAUUGCUUUGUUUCCAUCCCAUGAGCCAUACAGCUUGCUUGGCUCUUAU